This 474-nucleotide ribosomal RNA is filed under the name uncultured bacterium. Its description in RNAcentral is "bacterial SSU rRNA". It matches the Rfam family "Bacterial small subunit ribosomal RNA", at positions 328 to 793 of the family's 1533-position model. The record is from RNAcentral.
CUCUGUGACUCCGUACGGGAGGCAGCAGUGGGGAAUAUUGCACAAUGGGCGCAAGCCUGAUGCAGCCAUGCCGCGUGUGUGAAGAAGGCCUUCGGGUUGUAAAGCACUUUCAGUUGUGAGGAAGGUGGUGUCGUUAAUAGCGGCAUCAUUUGACGUUAGCAACAGAAGAAGCACCGGCUAACUCCGUGCCAGCAGCCGCGGUAAUACGGAGGGUGCGAGCGUUAAUCGGAAUUACUGGGCGUAAAGCGCAUGCAGGUGGUUUGUUAAGUCAGAUGUGAAAGCCCCGGGGCUCAACCUCGGAACUGCAUUUGAAACUGGCAGACUAGAGUACUGUAGAGGGGGUAGAAUUUCAGGUGUAGCGGUGAAAUGCGUAGAGAUCUGAAGGAAUACCGGUGGCGAAGGCGGCCCCCUGGACAGAUACUGACACUCAGAUGCGAAAGCGUGGGGAGCAAACAGGAUUAGAUACCCUGGUAG